This 495-nucleotide ribosomal RNA is filed under the name uncultured bacterium. RNAcentral's name for it is "partial 16S ribosomal RNA". It matches the Rfam family "Bacterial small subunit ribosomal RNA", at positions 28 to 507 of the family's 1533-position model. The record is from RNAcentral.
GACGAACGCUGGCGGCGUGCCUAAUACAUGCAAGUAGAACGCUGAAGGAGGAGCUUGCUUCUCCGGAUGAGUUGCGAACGGGUGAGUAACGCGUAGGUAACCUGCCUGGUAGCGGGGGAUAACUAUUGGAAACGAUAGCUAAUACCGCAUAAGAGUAGAUGUCGCAUGACAUUUGCUUAAAAGGUGCAACUGCACCACUACCAGAUGGACCUGCGUUGUAUUAGCUAGUUGGUGAGGUAACGGCUCACCAAGGCAACGAUACAUAGCCGACCUGAGAGGGUGAUCGGCCAGACUGGGACUGAGACACGGCCCAGACUCCUACGGGAGGCAGCAGUAGGGAAUCUUCGGCAAUGGACGGAAGUCUGACCGAGCAACGCCGCGUGAGUGAAGAAGGUUGUCGGAUCGUAAAGCUCUGUUGUAAGAGAAGAACGAGUGUGAGAGUGGAAAGUUCACACUGUGACGGUAUCUUACCAGAAAGGGACGGCUAACUACGUG